Molecule: long non-coding RNA, 293 nt
Filed under: Elaeis guineensis (African oil palm)
Lineage: Eukaryota; Viridiplantae; Streptophyta; Magnoliopsida; Arecales; Arecaceae
Description: long non-coding RNA (EGUI_LNC042765)
Source: RNAcentral
UCUCCUUAUCCUUGCUUGGUUCACCUUUGAAGGUCUUCUUUUUAAAACCUUGCUUCUUCUUCCUCAUGAAACUCUUAAACUUUCUUGUGAUCAAGGCCAAGUCUUCUUCUUCUUCUUCAUCUUCCUCAUCAGACUCAUCACUUUCAUCAUCCUUGGGGUAGUUCUUUUGAGUGCGAUAGUCUUUUUCUUCUUGGUUUCUUCUUCCACAUUUUGUCUCAUGGUUAACUCAUGAGUCAUUAGAGAUCCAUGGAGUUCUUCUAGUGGCAGUUUAUUGAUAUCCUUGGCUUCUUGUA